GGUUCCAUAGUGUAGCGGUUAGCACGUCUGCUUUACACGCAGAAGGUCCUGGGUUCAUGCCCCAGAGGUGCCA
This is a non-coding RNA of Pteropus alecto (black flying fox), 73 nucleotides long. The record is from Rfam. NCBI's taxonomy places the organism in Eukaryota, Metazoa, Chordata, Mammalia, Chiroptera, Pteropodidae.